AACGUAGGAGACAAACGUUAUCCGGAGUUACUGGGCGUAAAGGGCGUGUAGGCGGUCUGUUAAGUCUGGCGUGAAAGCUCUCGGCUAAACCGGGAGAGGUCGUUGGAUACUGGCAGACUAGAGGACGGUAGAGGCGUGUGGAAUUCCGAGUGUAGUGGUGAAAUGCGUAGAGAUCCGGAGGAACACCGGUGGCGAAGGCGGGUCUCUGGGCCGAUACUGACGCUGAGGAGCGAAAGCGUGGGGAGCGAACAGG
This 253-nucleotide ribosomal RNA is filed under the name uncultured bacterium. RNAcentral's name for it is "partial 16S ribosomal RNA". It matches the Rfam family "Bacterial small subunit ribosomal RNA", at positions 524 to 776 of the family's 1533-position model. The record is from RNAcentral.